CGGGGGGAGCAAGCGUUGUUCGGAUUUACUGGGCGUAAAGGGCGCGUAGGCGGCCAGCGCAAGUCAGUUGUGAAAUCUCCGGGCUUAACUCGGAAAGGUCAACUGAUACUGCGCGGCUAGAGUGCAGAAGGGGCAACUGGAAUUCUCGGUGUAGCGGUGAAAUGCGUAGAUAUCGAGAGGAACACCUGCGGCGAAGGCGGGUUGCUGGGCUGACACUGACGCUGAGGCGCGAAAGCCAGGGGAGCGAACGGGAUUAGAUACCCCGGUAGUCCUGGCCUUAAACGAUGGAUGCUUGGUGUCUGGAGUUUUAUAGUCUCCGGGUGCCGUAGCUAACGCGUUAAGCAUCCCGCCUGGGGAGUACGGUCGCAAGACUG
Molecule: ribosomal RNA, 374 nt
Filed under: uncultured organism
Description: bacterial SSU rRNA
Rfam family: Bacterial small subunit ribosomal RNA
Source: RNAcentral